UGAGUAUGUUAAAUAAGAUACCCUAUAGUCUUCUUAGCUAGGAGAUAUAAAGUAAAGGAAAAUUUCUGCUAUAGGAUUCUAUUUAAUUUGAUUAGGUAGUUGAUAGGGUAACGGCCUACCAAGCCAACGAUCAAAAGUCAAGUUUGAAAGAACCUCUGGCCACAUUGGGGAUGAAAUCUCCCAAGUAGUAAUAACACUACCAGCAGUCGAGAAUAUUAGUCAAUGCUCGUAAGAGUGAACUAGCUAACUGAAAUCAUAGAAUUUUUUCAAAUUCAUGAUGUCGUAAGGGAAAAUAAUGAUAAUACCUUACUAUGAGUGUCGUCCAAAUCUGGUGCCAGAAGACUCGGUAAGACCAGAGACGCAAACGUUAAUCAUCAUAAACAGGCGUAAAGGGUUUGUAGGCAGCUUUUAUAAAAUAUUUCAAAAACUAAAUUAAAAGCUAGAAUCAAAAAGAGGUUAUAGUGUAUAACGCCUAGAGGAGGGCUGAUAUCCAUAGAUCCUAGGCAGAAUACUCAGGGCGAAGGCCACUCUCCACUAAUGAUUGACGCUGAGAAACGAAGGUUAGGGUAGGAAAUAGGAUUUAGAUACCCCGGUACUCCUUUUCUGUAAACGAAUGAAUGGUAGUCAAUUAGUUAAAUUAAAAAUAACUAGAGGCGAAGUUAACACA
RNAcentral lists this ribosomal RNA (667 nucleotides) under Ganoderma sp. 1 TRK-2010. RNAcentral describes it as "SSU rRNA". It matches the Rfam family "Bacterial small subunit ribosomal RNA", at positions 149 to 859 of the family's 1533-position model. The record is from RNAcentral. Lineage: Eukaryota; Fungi; Basidiomycota; Agaricomycetes; Polyporales; Polyporaceae.